AGCGAACGCUGGCGGCGUGCCUAACACAUGCAAGUCGAACGUGAAGGGAGCAAUCCCAAGUAAAGUGGCGUACGGGUGAGUAACACGUAGGUAAUCUACCCCAGAAUCUAGAAUAACUGGCCGAAAGGCUGGCUAAUACUGGAUAGAGCGACGGAAUCCGUAAUUGGGUUUUUCGGGAAAGGGAGCCUGUAAAAAGGCCUUCGUUCUGGGAUGAGCCUGCGUCCCAUCAGCUAGUUGGUGAGGUAAAAGCUUACCAAGGCAAUGACGGGUAGCUGGUCUGAGAGGACGAUCAGCCACACUGGAACUGAAACACGGUCCAGACUCCUACGGGAGGCAGCAGUGGGGAAUCUUGCGCAAUGGACGAAAGUCUGACGCAGCAACGCCGCGUGAGUGAAGAAGGCCUUCGGGUUGUAAAGCUCUGUCGAGUGGGACGAAAAUGCUUGGAGUUCACAGCUCCAGGAACUGACGGUACCACUAAAGGAAGCACCGGCUAACUCCGUG
Molecule: ribosomal RNA, 501 nt
Filed under: uncultured bacterium
Lineage: Bacteria
Description: partial 16S ribosomal RNA
Rfam family: Bacterial small subunit ribosomal RNA
Source: RNAcentral